This 811-nucleotide unclassified non-coding RNA is filed under the name Venturia canescens. RNAcentral's name for it is "uncharacterized LOC122417885, transcript variant X1". The record is from RNAcentral. Lineage: Eukaryota; Metazoa; Arthropoda; Insecta; Hymenoptera; Ichneumonidae.
CUUGGAAGACGGCGAACCAAACACACACGUGCGCGUUACUUAAACCAAAAUCUACAAUGAAAUAGAAAGCUGAAACAUAGAAAAGAAUCCAUUUUAAACUCAACAAUCAAUUCAUUUGAAGAAGCAGCAGUAUAGAAAAGUGAAUAUUUAAAACGGAGCAAAAAGCAUCGCUUUCGUAUUUUUGACACCUGGCUCGAUCUGGAGCGAGAAAUCAAGAGCGUAGAGCGUAAAGCGACGAUAUAAAGAGCGCACAAAGGAUCCGAGUUACCACGUGCUAUCCACGCGGACUGGGCGUUGGACACGGACGAAAGAAAAAAAGGAAAAACGUACCAAUGGAAAUGGGUCUUCCCAGCCCACAAAAGUCAAAAGAAAACUCCAACAUCGAGCAUUCGGAUGCAGAGCCAGAUCUCAAGAGGAAAAGAGAGUAUCUUCGGAACUUCGAGGAGAGAAAAAACAGGCGAAGAAGAAACAGAUACUACAGUCCACUCGAAUAUUGAAAAAAUGAACUGCAAAUCCAUCCCAGAUCUGAGGACUCCUGAGGAAAUUUCUCCAAGUGUUACCACGUCCACGUUCACCCCUCAAUCCAAAGGGAAACACGAAAACUCCUUAAUUGGUAUUAACCCCAUUGACACGUCAAGCCCCAAUCACCGCCGACUUGAUCUUAAUAAUUCCCAGAAAGCUAAAAAUAUAAACACCCAGUCACAAUUAAAUCAAAGUAAAGUACCUAAUGUAGAAAAAAUAUAAUAUGUGUUCGUCUAUAUGUCUCCUCUGUACAUCCUGUAGAAAUAAAUUCCACCAGUAGAUAAAUUUA